AAAUUGAAGAGUUUGAUCAUGGCUCAGAUUGAACGCUGGCGGCAGGCCUAACACAUGCAAGUCGAGCGGAAACGACAACAUUGAAUCUUCGGAGGAUUUGUUGGACGUCGAGCGGCGGACGGGUGAGUAAUGCCUAGGAAAUUGCCUUGAUGUGGGGGAUAACCAUUGGAAACGAUGGCUAAUACCGCAUAAUGCCUACGGGCCAAAGAGGGGGAUCUUCGGACCUCUCGCG
Molecule: ribosomal RNA, 232 nt
Filed under: Vibrio splendidus
Lineage: Bacteria; Pseudomonadati; Pseudomonadota; Gammaproteobacteria; Vibrionales; Vibrionaceae
Description: partial 16S ribosomal RNA
Rfam family: Bacterial small subunit ribosomal RNA
Source: RNAcentral